GUGGGGCUUUGUACAGACAUUUUGAGAUUAGAUCAGGGUUGAGGCCACCAUCUACCACUUCCUGCCUUGUGACGAUUUAAACCCCCAAUGUGCAAAGACCCCACAUUCCGCUCUGGUCCAGAAGAGAAGGCUCUCUGAAGAUUCACCAUGAAGAUCCAGCUCCUGUUGUGUUUCUUAGUAAUCCUCCCGUGUGUCCCUGGCAUGAGCAUAGACAAGGGGAGAAGACCAAAGCCUGACCAAGACGUCACUGAAAGAUACAAGAAGUUCCUCGAGCAACAUUUAGGUGGUAAAAUGGUUAUAAAAGAUUGUGAUAAAGUAAUGAAUCAGAG
This is a long non-coding RNA of Clupea harengus (Atlantic herring), 329 nucleotides long. RefSeq lists it as uncharacterized. The record is from RefSeq and is a predicted model, not a curated record. The transcript is spliced from 2 exons. NCBI's taxonomy places the organism in Eukaryota, Metazoa, Chordata, Actinopteri, Clupeiformes, Clupeidae.